Molecule: ribosomal RNA, 434 nt
Filed under: uncultured bacterium
Lineage: Bacteria
Description: partial 16S ribosomal RNA
Rfam family: Bacterial small subunit ribosomal RNA
Source: RNAcentral
AGCGAACGCUGGCGGCAGGCCUAACACAUGCAAGUCGAACGAACCUUUCGGGGUUAGUGGCGGACGGGUGAGUAACACGUGGGAACGUUCCUUUAGGUUCGGAAUAACUCAGGGAAACUUGUGCUAAUACCGAAUGUGCCCUUCGGGGGGAAGAUUAAUCGCCGUUAGAGCGGCCCGCGUCUGAUUAGCUAGUUGGUUGAGGUAAUGGCUCACCAAGGCGACGAUCAGUAGCUGGUCUGAGAGGAUGAUCAGACACAUUGGGACUGAGACACGGCCCAAAAUCCUACGGGAGGCAGCAGUGGGGAAUCUUGCGAAAUGGGCGAAAGCCUGACGCAGCCAUGCCGCGUGAAUGAUGAAGGUAUUAGGAUUGUAAAAUUCUUUCAACGGGGACGAUAAUGACGGUACCCGGAGAAGAAGCCCCGGCUAACUUCGUG